RNAcentral lists this ribosomal RNA (869 nucleotides) under Agaricus sp. ZRL2012012. RNAcentral's name for it is "eukaryotic LSU rRNA". It matches the Rfam family "Eukaryotic large subunit ribosomal RNA", at positions 64 to 921 of the family's 3401-position model. The record is from RNAcentral. Lineage: Eukaryota; Fungi; Basidiomycota; Agaricomycetes; Agaricales; Agaricaceae.
ACUAACAGGAUUCCCCUAGUAACUGCGAGUGAAGCGGGAAAAGCUCAAAUUUAAAAUCUGGCAGUCUCUGGCUGUCCGAGUUGUAAUCUAGAGAAGUAAUGCCCGUGCUGGACCGUGUAUAAGUCUCCUGGGAUGGGGCGUCAUAGAGGGUGAGAAUCCCGUCUUUGACACGGACUACCAGUGCAUUGUGGUAUGCUCUCAAAGAGUCGAGUUGUUUGGGAAUGCAGCUCAAAAUGGGUGGUAAAUUCCAUCUAAAGCUAAAUAUUGGCGAGAGACCGAUAGCGAACAAGUACCGUGAGGGAAAGAUGAAAAGAACUUUGGAAAGAGAGUUAAACAGUACGUGAAAUUGCUGAAAGGGAAACGCUUGAAGUCAGUCGCGUUGGCCAGGAUUCAGCUUUGCUUUUGCAUGGUGUACUUUCUGGUUGACGGGUCAGCAUCAAUUUUGACCGCUGGAAAAAGACCUGGGGAAUGUGGCAGCUUCGGCUGUGUUAUAGCCCCUAGUCACAUACAGUGGUUGGGAUUGAGGAACUCAGCACGCCGCAAGGCCGGGUUUCGACCACGUUCGUGCUUAGGAUGCUGGCAUAAUGGCUUUAAGCGACCCGUCUUGAAACACGGACCAAGGAGUCUAACAUGCCUGCGAGUAUUUGGGUGGAAAACUCAAGUGCGUAAUGAAAGUGAAAGUUGAGAUCCCUGUCGUAGGGAGCAUCGACGCCCGGACCAGAACUUUUGGGACGGAUCCGCGGUGGAGCAUGUAUGUUGGGACCCGAAAGAUGGUGAACUAUGCCUGAAUAGGGUGAAGCCAGAGGAAACUCUGGUGGAGGCUCGUAGCGAUUCUGACGUGCAAAUCGAUCGUCAAAUUUGGGUAUAGG